GACGAACGCUGGCGGCGUGCUUAACACAUGCAAGUCGAACGGAAAGGCCCUGCUUUUGUGGGGUGCUCGAGUGGCGAACGGGUGAGUAACACGUGAGUAACCUGCCCUUGACUUUGGGAUAACUUCAGGAAACUGGGGCUAAUACCGGAUAGGAGCUCCUGCUGCAUGGUGGGGGUUGGAAAGUUUCGGCGGUUGGGGAUGGACUCGCGGCUUAUCAGCUUGUUGGUGGGGUAGUGGCUUACCAAGGCUUUGACGGGUAGCCGGCCUGAGAGGGUGACCGGCCACAUUGGGACUGCGGGAGGGCCCAGUCUCCUACGGGAGGCAGCAGUGGGGAAUAUUGCACAAUGGGCGGAAGCCUGAUGCAGCAGCGCCGCGUGCGGGAUGACGGCCUUCGGGUUGUGAACCGCUUUCGCCUGUGACGAAGCGUGAGUGACGGUAAUGGGUAAAGAAGCACCGGCUAACUACGUG
This 468-nucleotide ribosomal RNA is filed under the name uncultured bacterium. RNAcentral's name for it is "partial 16S ribosomal RNA". It matches the Rfam family "Bacterial small subunit ribosomal RNA", at positions 28 to 507 of the family's 1533-position model. The record is from RNAcentral.